RNAcentral lists this ribosomal RNA (500 nucleotides) under uncultured bacterium. RNAcentral describes it as "partial 16S ribosomal RNA". It matches the Rfam family "Bacterial small subunit ribosomal RNA", at positions 30 to 523 of the family's 1533-position model. The record is from RNAcentral.
AUUGAACGCUGGCGGCAUGCCUUACACAUGCAAGUCGAACGGCAGCACGGACUUCGGUCUGGUGGCGAGUGGCGAACGGGUGAGUAAUAUAUCGGAACAUACCUUGUAGUGGGGGAUAACUAUCCGAAAGGAUAGCUAAUACCGCAUACGCUCUAAGGAGGAAAGUGGGGGAUCGCAAGACCUCAUGCUAUAAGAGUGGCCGAUAUCUGAUUAGCUAGUUGGUGAGGUAAAGGUUCACCAAGGCGACGAUCAGUAGCUGGUCUGAGAGGACGACCAGCCACACUGGAACUGAGACACGGUCCAGACUCCUACGGGAGGCAGCAGUGGGGAAUUUUGGACAAUGGGGGCAACCCUGAUCCAGCAAUGCCGCGUGAGUGAAGAAGGCCUUCGGGUUGUAAAGCUCUUUUGUCAGGGAAGAAACGGUUGUGGCUAAUAUCCAUGGCUAAUGACGGUACCUGAAGAACAAGCACCGGCUAACUACGUGCCAGCCGCCGCGGUAA